This 1073-nucleotide ribosomal RNA is filed under the name Polaribacter sp. RNAcentral's name for it is "bacterial SSU rRNA". It matches the Rfam family "Bacterial small subunit ribosomal RNA", at positions 118 to 1200 of the family's 1533-position model. Lineage: Bacteria; Pseudomonadati; Bacteroidota; Flavobacteriia; Flavobacteriales; Flavobacteriaceae. The record is from RNAcentral.
CAAGGUAACCGUAGAGUUUGAUCCUGGCUCAAGAAGUCGUAACAAGGGAACCGUAAAGUUUGAUCCUGGCUCAGGAAGGCAUAACAAGGUUUCCCGGUAGUUUAUGGCUAUGCGUCCUAUUAGCUAAAUGGUAAGGUAACGGCUUACCAUGGCAACGAUAGGUAGGGGUCCUGAGAGGGAGAUCCCCCACACUGGUACUGAGACACGGACCAGACUCCUACGGGAGGCAGCAGUGAGGAAUAUUGGGCAAUGGAGGCAACUCUGACCCAGCCAUGCCGCGUGCAGGAAGACGGCCCUAUGGGUUGUAAACUGCUUUUAUACAGGAAGAAACACUGGUAUGUAUACCAGCUUGACGGUACUGUAAGAAUAAGGACCGGCUAACUCCGUGCCAGCAGCCGCGGUAAUACGGAGGGUCCGAGCGUUAUCCGGAAUCAUUGGGUUUAAAGGGUCCGCAGGCGGUCAAUUAAGUCAGAGGUGAAAUACCAUAGCUCAACUAUGGAACUGCCUUUGAUACUGGUUGACUUGAGUCAUAUGGAAGUAGAUAGAAUGUGUAGUGUAGCGGUGAAAUGCAUAGAUAUUACACAGAAUACCGAUUGCGAAGGCAGUCUACUACGUAUGUACUGACGCUGAGGGACGAAAGCGUGGGGAGCGAACAGGAUUAGAUACCCUGGUAGUCCACGCCGUAAACGAUGGAUACUAGUUGUUGGGCAUUAGCUCAGUGACUAAGCGAAAGUGAUAAGUAUCCCACCUGGGGAGUACGGUCGCAAGACUGAAACUCAAAGGAAUUGACGGGGGCCCGCACAAGCGGUGGAGCAUGUGGUUUAAUUCGAUGAUACGCGAGGAACCUUACCAGGGCUUAAAUGUAGUCUGACAGCUUUAGAGAUAGAGUUUUCUUCGGACAGAUUACAAGGUGCUGCAUGGUUGUCGUCAGCUCGUGCCGUGAGGUGUCAGGUUAAGUCCUAUAACGAGCGCAACCCCUGUCGUUAGUUGCCAGCAAGUAAAGUUGGGGACUCUAACGAGACUGCCUACGCAAGUAGAGAGGAAGGUGGGGAUGACGUCAAAUCAUCAGGGCC